This 1437-nucleotide ribosomal RNA is filed under the name Triticum aestivum (bread wheat). RNAcentral's name for it is "partial small subunit ribosomal RNA". The record is from RNAcentral. Lineage: Eukaryota; Viridiplantae; Streptophyta; Magnoliopsida; Poales; Poaceae.
GAUCGGGUCGACUGGGAGUUUCUGCAGAAGGCGCUGAGUAGAUGGGGCUUCUCGGAACAGUGGAUUGCUUGGAUAAUGUCUUGUGUCAAAUCUGUCCGUUAUUCGGUUAAACUGAAUGGGAAACUUCUGGAGGUUUUUUCACCAUCGCGAGGCCUUCGUCAAGGUGACCCAUUGUCUCCGUUUUUGUUUCUCUUUGUCGCUGAUGCGUUAUCUGCUCUCCUAUCUAAAUCAGUGAAUGAAGGUAGCUUGAAACGGGUGAGCAUUUGUCGGGGUGCACCGGAGAUCUCUCAUCUCCUCUUUGCGGAUGACACCUUGCUCUUUUUUGAAGCUUCAGGCCAGCAGGCGGAUGUUGUUAAAGGUUUGUUGAAUACUUAUUCCUCGGCGACGGGUCAACUUAUAAAUCCCGAGAAGUGUUCCAUCCUUUUUUCUGACAACUGCGGUGGGUCAGUCGUGGAUGAGAUCAAGAGUACAUUGGAGGUAACGCAGCAGGUAUUUGAACCAAAAUACCUUGGACUCCCGGUCCCUGAAGGAAGAGUUCACAAGGGGCAGUUUGAGACACUGCAAGAUAGAUUGAGGAAAAUUCUUGUUGAUUGGAGUGAACAAUAUGUUUCAGUUGGAAAUAAAGAGAUUCUUAUCAAGGCCGUGGCUCAGGCGAUUCCCACCUAUGUAAUGAGCGUGUUCAAAUUACCAGCCUCAGUGUGUGAUGAUCUAACCAAGAUGAUGCGGCAAUACUGGUGGGGGGUGGAAAAUGGCAAAAGGAAGAUGGCCUGGUUAAGUUGGGAGAGGAUGAUGUUACCCAAAGCAAUGGGGGGCAUGGGAUUCCGAGACAUGAGGGCGUUUAAUCAAGCUCUGCUUGCCAAGCAGGCUUGGCGCCUCUUAGAUAGCCAAGAUAGCCUUUGUGCGAGAUUAUUGAAGGCCAAAUACUACCCUAGGGGAAAUUUGCUUGACACUGUUUUCUCGUCCAACAGUUCGGCGGUUUGGAAGGGUAUUGUUCAUGGACUUGAUUUGGUGAAAAAGGGCAUUAUUUGGCGCGUUGGCAACGGUGCAAUGAUAAAAACCUGGAGAGAUGCUUGGAUUCCUCGUGGUCACAAUUUCAGACCGAUCACUCCUAAAAGGAAUUGUCGGUACAACCGGGUAGCUGAUUUUCUGAAUGAGCAUGGAGCAUGGGAUGUGGAACGGCUUAGGGAGCAUUUUUGGGACAUGGAUGUCAGGGAGAUUGUGAAGGUACGUACAUCUCCAAGGAACGGGCAGGAUUUCAUCGCAUGGGCCGCGGAGAGGUCUGGACAGUUCACUGUGCGUAGUGCUUAUCAUCUUGCAAUGGAGGUCCAGCACUCCAUGAGGCUCAGCUCGUCAAGCAGUAAUGCUUCAGGUCGGAGGCCUAUUUGGCAGCGGAUUUGGAGCUCUAAAGUGCCGCUAAAGAUGACAAUUAUGGCCUAG